AGUGAACGCUGGCGGUAGGCCUAACGCAUGCAAGUCGAACGGCAGCACAGUAAGAGCUUGCUCUUACGGGUGGCGAGUGGCGGACGGGUGAGGAAUACAUCGGAAUCUACUUUUUCGUGGGGGAUAACGUAGGGAAACUUACGCUAAUACCGCAUACGACCUACGGGUGAAAGCAGGGGAUCUUCGGACCUUGCGCGAUUGAAUGAGCCGAUGUCUGAUUAGCUAGUUGGCGGGGUAAAGGCCCACCAAGGCGACGAUCCGUAGCUGGUCUGAGAGGAUGAUCAGCCACACUGGAACUGAGACACGGUCCAGACUCCUACGGGAGGCAGCAGUGGGGAAUAUUGGACAAUGGGCGCAAGCCUGAUCCAGCCAUACCGCGUGGGUGAAGAAGGCCUUCGGGUUGUAAAGCCCUUUUGUUGGGAAAGAAAAGCAGCAGGUUAAUACCCCGCUGUUCUGACGGUACCCAAAGAAUAAGCACCGGCUAACUUCGUG
This 492-nucleotide ribosomal RNA is filed under the name uncultured bacterium. RNAcentral's name for it is "partial 16S ribosomal RNA". It matches the Rfam family "Bacterial small subunit ribosomal RNA", at positions 29 to 507 of the family's 1533-position model. The record is from RNAcentral.